GGGUCAGAUGCCAGUUCCGAGCCUUCGGAGUUUGGAGGGAAAAAUGAUAAACUUGGUGGACAGGAAGUACAAAACUGGAAUUUGCUGAGACUGUUACCUGUGGUAGUAGGUGACAGAAUAUUAAACUACAGUGAUUCGGUUUGGCAGCUUGUACUGCAGCUUAGAGAAAUUGUAGCGUUAGUAUGUGCACCACAGAUAUCUACUGCACAGGUUGCAUACUUGGAAGUGAUUAUAAUGGAAUACCUUGAAAUGAGAAAAGAGUUAUUUCCUGAAAAGCCUCUGAAACCAAAGCACCAUUACUUUAGGCAUUAUGCUGCUUUAAUUCUUAAAUUUGGUCCACUUAUACACUUAUGGACAAUGAGAUUUGAAAGUAAACAUUCCUAUUUUAAGAGGUGUGCCAGAUGUUUUCAGAAUUUCAAGAACAUUUGUCAAAGCCUUGCUGAACAUCAUCAACUACUUCAAGCCUAUCUUUUUUCUGGGACUUUCUUUUCUGCUGACUUAGAAAUAAGGAAAAGUAUUCCUUUUUGUGCCAAUUUGUACAAUGAAACUACUACUUAGAUCACUGGGGGGCCUUGAUUUUGAUGAGACAGAUACAGUUCUGUCAGAGGAGGUGCAAUUUAAAGGUAUAUUAUACAAAAAAGGAUUUUUCUUGAUUCUAAAUAAAGAUUCAGAUUUGGAAUUUGGUGAAAUUGAGAUAAUGGUAAUCAAGGAUAGUAAAAACCUGCAUUUUUUUUGUUAGAAAAUAUUAUUCUGCAUUUUUACCACAUCUUGGUUUGUUUCAGAUAUACCAGGACGCUGAGUGUACACAGUCUGUCCCUUUUGAAUGUCUUGGUGACUUUUAUCCUUUGCCAGCUUACAGAAGUCAUGGAACUUCCAUCAUUUGCCUGAAACACAUGCCAUUAUCAGUUUAAUUUUUUUAUUUUAAAUCACACGGGAGAUGUACAAUAUAUUGUUUAUACUGUUUGUAAAUAUACUUUUUUUGACAGAUUAGAAAACAUACCUUUCUUUACAGUUACAAAUAUGGAACAGGACAGAAAUUGCACUCAGUUGUAUGCUUUCAUCAGAUCAGUUUUCCCUAAUUUGAACAAUGAAGAUUUGAAAGUUAUUGUAGAGAAGAUUCAGGAUUUGGGAGUAUACCACACGGAAGAUGUCAAGUACAAAAAAGAGGAAGAACUACUUGGUGUUCUGAAACCAGUUCAAGCAUGGAAAUUGAUUUCUAGCAAUUUAGUCACAAGUGAAUAUUUUAAUCCCAAUCCCUGUGGUUAUUCACCCCCUGUCACUGAAAUGUCUCCGUCUAGUUCGUGUUGUUCAAACAUUAGUGGAGGUGGAGUAGACUCUGGUACCAUUAGUAACAGCUGGAUAAAUGACUUUUGCAUACCGUGGACAAAACUGCCAUCUGAUUUAAUGGGAUAUUUGGAAAGAGGAGAGAGACUGCCUCCAAAAAGGUGAAGAGAACUGAUUAGAAUUGUGAUAAAUGAAGUAAUGGCAGUGUGUAAGAUGCCAUUGAAAAGACACUUAAUACACAUAGCGGCAAAGAUGGUUAAUAAAUACCCAAGGUCAUUAAAGGAUGUGAUUGAAGGAGAAAUUAUUGGUAGUGGAUAUGACUCCUUACUAAAACAGCUUCAUGCAAGAGCAGAAAAUGUUAAACGGGAUGACCACGCAAAAAGUAAAAGGAAGAAAGCAACAUCCAGUGGAAGUGAUACUGAUGAAGUUUCACCACAUCAGCAUGCCUGCAUACAAGACACGUAUGGUUAUGUGAAUUGGUGUCCUGAUCAGAUGCCACUGGGAGAAACAGUAGAAACCCAAAAAUGUCAUAAGAGAGAACUGAAGAAACUGUUUCUUGAGGGAAUUCAAGAUUCAUCAAUUAUAUCCCUGAAAAUGGUGGUAACAUAUUAAUGUGCAGAGAAAGGAUAUAAUUAACAAUGUGGCAGUGGAAACGCUUAAAACAGAAUGGCCUUUCCUUUUUGAGAAAAUUGGUAUUAUAGUUCACUUUAAGCAAUUAACUGGAAUUCAUUUAGAAGAAACAAUGAGGGAAUCCUUUUCAAGUAAAGGAAAGAGAGUACUGGCUUACAUGAGAAGCCUUGGAAGUGAUAAGACACAGAAAAGUUGUUGAAGUAAAUGCCUUGUUGAAGACUGCUGAAAAAGCAACAUGCAGCAAGCUACAUGAGGUUCUGGGCACAGUCUUGCUCCUUUUUGCAUACUUCAAUGAAAACAAAAAUCUGAUGUUCUACCAAGUCAGUGACACAUGCUUAGCAAAUGAGGUAUCUGUGUCUGCUCUUCCAGCAUCACCGUGUAUCAUUUUUUGUGGAGACUCUCUGCUGACUGCAAGUUGCUUCAUGUUAAGUGUUGAUAAAAAUGUUGUCAAAGAGAAUAUUCCAGUAUUUUUAGAGGCCUUCGAGAUGAUGUUUGCUGCUUACUACAUUUUCAAUAUUCAGUAUCCAUCUGAUGUAGGAUCAACACUAGAAUUCAUACAAAGGCAAGUUUUAGUAAAACUCUAUAGGUAGCUUAUGCAUUUCAGUUGUUUAAUGGCAUUAUUAAUUACAUAUAUGUGUUUGUGUGUAUGUUUGUAGGUUUGUAAUAGGUGGUCUGAUAUAAUUGAUAUCAUUGUAUGUGGAUGGUCAGUUUUCAGACAUUGGCUGUACUGGAAAGUUACAAGCACCUUGUGGUGUGACCGAUGCAGAAGCAAUGUUCAAGAAUUAACAACUGUACUGGUAUCAUGUGUCUUAUUAUAUUUUCACUUUGACUGAAUCUGCCAUUAGUUCUAGAUUCCCAAGUAUAAAACAUUGCAAA
Molecule: long non-coding RNA, 2790 nt
Organism: Erpetoichthys calabaricus (reedfish)
Lineage: Eukaryota; Metazoa; Chordata; Cladistia; Polypteriformes; Polypteridae
Exons: 3
Source: RefSeq, a predicted model, not a curated record